GGGUUGUGAGGUUAAGCGACUAAGCGUACACGGUGGAUGCCCUGGCAGUCAGAGGCGAUGAAGGGCGUGCUAAUCUGCGAUAAGCGCCGGUAAGGUGAUAUGAACCGUUAUAACCGGCGAUACCCGAAUGGGGAAACCCAGUGUGAUUCGUCACACUAUCAUUAACUGAAUCCAUAGGUUAAUGAGGCGAACCGGGGGAACUGAAACAUCUAAGUACCCCGAGGAAAAGAAAUCAACCGAGAUUCCCCCAGUAGCGGCGAGCGAACGGGGAGGAGCCCAGAGCCUGAAUCAGCAUGUGUGUUAGUGGAAGCGUCUGGAAAGGCGCGCGAUACAGGGUGACAGCCCCGUACACAAAAGCGCAUGUGCUGUGAGCUCGAUGAGUAGGGCGGGACACGUGGUAUCCUGUCUGAAUAUGGGGGGACCAUCCUCCAAGGCUAAAUACUCCUGACUGACCGAUAGUGAACCAGUACCGUGAGGGAAAGGCGAAAAGAACCCCGGCGAGGGGAGUGAAAAAGAACCUGAAACCGUGUACGUACAAGCAGUGGGAGCACAGGUUUACCUGUGUGACUGCGUACCUUUUGUAUAAUGGGUCAGCGACUUAUAUUCUGUAGCAAGGUUAACCGUAUAGGGGAGCCGCAGGGAAACCGAGUCUUAAUUGGGCGUUAAGUUGCAGGGUAUAGACCCGAAACCCGGUGAUCUAGCCAUGGGCAGGUUGAAGGUGGGUAACACUAACUGGAGGACCGAACCGACUAAUGUUUGAAAAAAUUAGCGGAUGACCUGUGGCUGGGGGUGAAAGGCCAAUCAAACCGGGAGAUAGCUGGUUCUCCCCGAAAGCUAUUUAGGUAGCGCCUCGUGAACUCAUCUCCGGGGGUAGAGCACUGUUUCGGCUAGGGGGCCAUCCCGGCUUACCAACCCGAUGCAAACUGCGAAUACCGGAGAAUGUUAUCACGGGAGACACACGGCGGGUGCUAACGUCCGUCGUGAAGAGGGAAACAACCCAGACCGCCAGCUAAGGUCCCAAAGUCAUGGUUAAGUGGGAAACGAUGUGGGAAGGCCCAGACAGCCAGGAUGUUGGCUUAGAAGCAGCCAUCAUUUAAAGAAAGCGUAAUAGCUCACUGGUCGAGUCGGCCUGCGCGGAAGAUGUAACGGGGCUAAACCAUGCACCGAAGCUGCGGCAGCGAACGUAUCACUUAAAGCGAUUCAGCGGGUUACGAUUGACGGAGCGAAGCGACGUCAAAGCGUAUACAAAGUCGAGUCGGUUUAAGGAUACGUUCGUUGGGUAGGGGAGCGUUCUGUAAGCCUGUGAAGGUGGCCUGUGAGGGUUGCUGGAGGUAUCAGAAGUGCGAAUGCUGACAUAAGUAACGAUAAAGCGGGUGAAAAGCCCGCUCGCCGGAAGACCAAGGGUUCCUGUCCAACGUUAAUCGGGGCAGGGUGAGUCGACCCCUAAGGCGAGGCCGAAAGGCGUAGUCGAUGGGAAACGGGUUAAUAUUCCCGUACUUGGUGUUACUGCGAAGGGGGGACGGAGAAGGCUAUGUUGGCCGGGCGACGGUUGUCCCGGUUUAAGCGUGUAGGUGUGUGUUCCAGGUAAAUCCGGUUCACUUUAACACUGAGGCGUGAUGACGAGGCACUACGGUGCUGAAGCAACAAAUGCCCUGCUUCCAGGAAAAGCCUCUAAGCAUCAGGUAACAUCAAAUCGUACCCCAAACCGACACAGGUGGUCAGGUAGAGAAUACCAAGGCGCUUGAGAGAACUCGGGUGAAGGAACUAGGCAAAAUGGUGCCGUAACUUCGGGAGAAGGCACGCUGACAUGUAGGUGAAGUGAUUUACUCAUGGAGCUGAAGUCAGUCGAAGAUACCAGCUGGCUGCAACUGUUUAUUAAAAACACAGCACUGUGCAAACACGAAAGUGGACGUAUACGGUGUGACGCCUGCCCGGUGCCGGAAGGUUAAUUGAUGGGGUCAGCGCAAGCGAAGCUCCUGAUCGAAGCCCCGGUAAACGGCGGCCGUAACUAUAACGGUCCUAAGGUAGCGAAAUUCCUUGUCGGGUAAGUUCCGACCUGCACGAAUGGCGUAAUGAUGGCCAGGCUGUCUCCACCCGAGACUCAGUGAAAUUGAACUCGCUGUGAAGAUGCAGUGUACCCGCGGCAAGACGGAAAGACCCCGUGAACCUUUACUAUAGCUUGACACUGAACAUUGAGCCUUGAUGUGUAGGAUAGGUGGGAGGCUUUGAAGCGUGGACGCCAGUCUGCGUGGAGCCGGCCUUGAAAUACCACCCUUUAAUGUUUGAUGUUCUAACGUGGACCCGUGAUCCGGGUUGCGGACAGUGUCUGGUGGGUAGUUUGACUGGGGCGGUCUCCUCCUAAAGAGUAACGGAGGAGCACGAAGGUUGGCUAAUCCUGGUCGGACAUCAGGAGGUUAGUGCAAUGGCAUAAGCCAGCUUGACUGCGAGCGUGACGGCGCGAGCAGGUGCGAAAGCAGGUCAUAGUGAUCCGGUGGUUCUGAAUGGAAGGGCCAUCGCUCAACGGAUAAAAGGUACUCCGGGGAUAACAGGCUGAUACCGCCCAAGAGUUCAUAUCGACGGCGGUGUUUGGCACCUCGAUGUCGGCUCAUCACAUCCUGGGGCUGAAGUAGGUCCCAAGGGUAUGGCUGUUCGCCAUUUAAAGUGGUACGCGAGCUGGGUUUAGAACGUCGUGAGACAGUUCGGUCCCUAUCUACCGUGGGCGCUGGAGAACUGAGGGGGGCUGCUCCUAGUACGAGAGGACCGGAGUGGACGCAUCACUGGUGUUCGGGUUGUCAUGCCAAUGGCACUGCCCGGUAGCUAAAUGCGGAAGAGAUAAGUGCUGAAAGCAUCUAAGCACGAAACUUGCCCCGAGAUGAGUUCUCCCUGAGACUUAAAGUCUCCUGAAGGAACGUUGAAGACGACGACGUUGAUAGGCCGGGUGUGUAAGCGCAGCGAUGCGUUGAGCUAACCGGUACUAAUGAACCGUGAGGCUUAACCUUACAACGCCGAAG
Molecule: ribosomal RNA, 3011 nt
Filed under: Salmonella enterica subsp. enterica serovar California
Lineage: Bacteria; Pseudomonadati; Pseudomonadota; Gammaproteobacteria; Enterobacterales; Enterobacteriaceae
Description: 23S ribosomal RNA
Rfam family: Bacterial large subunit ribosomal RNA
Source: RNAcentral